Molecule: long non-coding RNA, 448 nt
Filed under: Nicotiana benthamiana
Lineage: Eukaryota; Viridiplantae; Streptophyta; Magnoliopsida; Solanales; Solanaceae
Description: long non-coding RNA (NBEN_LNC002258)
Source: RNAcentral
GGUGAAUGCAGGUGGAUGUCGUGACUGGAACUACUACAUUACCUUUAAAGUUAACAACAAUGGGAAUGAAGAAACUUUUCAAGCUCAGGUUGUAAUUUCACUUGAGGGCGCUAUCGAGAUUCCAGUUUGCAGGCCCAAGGUCUAAAUUGUUUCUGAAUUAUCUGCAAUUUAGUUGUUACUUAUAGGUAUUAAGGUACAUUUCUCUGUUUUAUUAUGCCUUUGGUUUGUAAUAAUGGGGCUAAAUCUGAAUUCACCCCACAGCACAAUGCUACUAUCUGAUUGAGUUGGUCACGACUUCAUUUUUGCAUUAAAGAUGCAUUUUAAAUGUUAUGCACCUCUAGCUUUUGCUAGUAGUUUUGAUGCCUGUCGGACUGCCAGUGUCACGCUAUCCAUAUAAUGUAUUGGGCUCCGUCAGUCUAGUAUCGAUGAUAAAUUGGUGGUGACUUUU